GCCCUUAGAGUUUGAUCAUGGCUCAGGAUGAACGCUAGCGGCAGGCUUAAUACAUGCAAGUCGGACGGUAACAGACCUGGCAACGGGUGCUGACGAGUGGCGCACGGGUGCGUAACACGUAUGCAACCUACCCUGUACUGGGGGAUAACCCUGAGAAAUCGGGGCUAAUACCCCAUGGCAUCAUAGAGUGGCAUCGCUAUUAUGAUUAAAGAUUCAUUGGCACAGGAUGGGCAUGCGCCCCAUUAGUUAGUUGGUGAGGUAACGGCUCACCAAGGCUGUGAUGGGUAGGGGUUCUGAGAGGAUUAUCCCCCACACUGGUACUGAGACACGGACCAGACUCCUACGGGAGGCAGCAGUAAGGAAUAUUGGGCAAUGGAGGCAACUCUGACCCAGCCAUGCCGCGUGCAGGAAGACGGCCCUAUGGGUUGUAAACUGCUUUUGUAUGGGACUAACCGUGGCUACGAGUAGUCAUCUGCAUGUACCAUACGAAUAAGCAUCGGCUAACUCCGUGCCAGCAGCCGCGGUAAUACGGAGGAUGCGAGCGCUACCCGGAAUUAUUGGGUUUAAAGGGUGCGUAGGCUGACAAGUAAGUCAGUGGUGAAAUACCCCGGCUUAACCGGGGGGUUGCCAUUGAAACUGUUUGUCUUGAGUGUAAUCGAAGUGGGCGGAAUGAGGUGUGUAGCGGUGAAAUGCAUAGAUAUACCUCAGAACACCGAUAGCGCAGGCAGCUCACUAGCUUACAACUGACGCUGAGGCACGAAAGCGUGGGUAUCAAACAGGAUUAGAUACCCUGGUAGUCCACGCUGUAACGAUGAUCACUA
This 821-nucleotide ribosomal RNA is filed under the name uncultured Bacteroidota bacterium. RNAcentral describes it as "bacterial SSU rRNA". It matches the Rfam family "Bacterial small subunit ribosomal RNA", at positions 1 to 818 of the family's 1533-position model. The record is from RNAcentral. Lineage: Bacteria; Pseudomonadati; Bacteroidota.